AUAACAAUACCUGAAAAGAGGGUCACGGUGAACAUGAAGUUUAACCUUUUGUUGUA
RNAcentral lists this transfer RNA (56 nucleotides) under Proasellus ibericus. The record is from RNAcentral. Lineage: Eukaryota; Metazoa; Arthropoda; Malacostraca; Isopoda; Asellidae.